RNAcentral lists this ribosomal RNA (301 nucleotides) under uncultured bacterium. RNAcentral describes it as "partial 16S ribosomal RNA". It matches the Rfam family "Bacterial small subunit ribosomal RNA", at positions 509 to 809 of the family's 1533-position model. The record is from RNAcentral.
CAGCAGCCGCGGUAAUACAGAGGCCUCAAGCGUUGUUCGGAUUCAUUGGGCGUAAAGGGUGCGUAGGCGGUUCCGUAAGUCGGAUGUGAAAUCCUGGGGCUCAACCUGGGAACUGCAUUUGUGACUGUAGAGCUGGAGUGCGGCAGAGGGGGAUGGAAUUCCGCGUGUAGCAGUGAAAUGCGUAGAUAUGCGGAGGAACACCGAUGGCGAAGGCAACCCCCUGGGCCUGCACUGACGCUCAUGCACGAAAGCGUGGGGAGCAAACAGGAUUAGAUACCCGUGUAGUCCCUGUCUCUUAUAA